This 302-nucleotide ribosomal RNA is filed under the name uncultured bacterium. RNAcentral's name for it is "partial 16S ribosomal RNA". It matches the Rfam family "Bacterial small subunit ribosomal RNA", at positions 508 to 807 of the family's 1533-position model. The record is from RNAcentral.
GCAGCCGCCACGGUAAUACGUAGGUGGCAAGCGUUGUCCGGAAUUAUUGGGCGUAAAGCGCGCGCAGGUGGUUUAAUAAGUCUGAUGUGAAAGCCCACGGCUCAACCGUGGGGGGUCAUUGGAAACUGUUAAACUUGAGUGCAGGAGAGAAAAGUGGAAUUCCUAGUGUAGCGGUGAAAUGCGUAGAGAUUAGGAGGAACACCAGUGGCGAAGGCGGCUUUUUGGCCUGUAGCUGACACUGAGGCGCGAAAGCGUGGGGAGCGAACAGGAUUAGAUACCCCUGUAGUCCCUGUCUCUUAUAC